Molecule: transfer RNA, 70 nt
Filed under: Janus sp. 1 GYN-2022e
Lineage: Eukaryota; Metazoa; Arthropoda; Insecta; Hymenoptera; Cephidae
Description: tRNA-Asn
Source: RNAcentral
UUAAUUGAAACCAAAAAGAGGUAAAUUAUUGUUAAUAAUUACAUUGAAUGAUUUAAUCAUUCCAAUUAAG